UCUAAAAGAGCUGACUCGAAGGAAACUGAGAGAACAGAGAAACAAACACAGGAGAAACCUUAGACCUAAGUUUAAAAGGUGGAAAACCCUAGAACGGAGACGAAUCACUCAAUGGACCGAUUAAUCGGUGUGAAUCGAAGAUUAAUCGGUAGAAAGGUGUUUAAUCGGUAGGAAAGGAAAAACAAUUAGUGAAAUCUAAGGACAAAGUGAAAAAUGACGAAGAAAAAUGGUAGAGAAGGCUUUAAUCGGUGAAGAUAUGAGGAAAUGAUGGAAAGAGAUCUAAACCCUAGAAUAAGAGUGAACGAGGAGGAUGAAUCUGUGAAGAGAUGAGGGUUACCUCAAGAAGCUAGAGACGCGAAUGAAGGGUCUCUGAAGCGCAAGAGAGAAAAUGAAGCAAAUGAGGCUGUGAAUGAAGCUUCACAAGUUAAGAAGUAGCUCUGCUAAUGCGUGGUACAAAGCUAAAGCAGAGUGGUGGAAAAACGACGUCGUGGAGGAGAGAAAAUGGAAGCACGGUGAAAUUCAAGGAAAAUGAAAAUGGAGGCAGUGUGCUAGGAAGGUGGCUAGAUGCGUUUCCUAGGACUCUCUAGCAUGUGACUUUCAAGAGAGAAUUAAUUAUGGGUUUCAAAAAUCUAAUUUUCAUUAAUCUCAAAAGUGAAAAUACAAGAGAGGAACUGUGUAUUUAUAGUAACCCGUGCUGCUUGAAAGUUAAGCAACGUGUACAAUAAAAUGUAAAAAUACAAAAAAGAGGACUACGUCAGGCAGGAUUCCAUCAAAGAUAUUCCUAAAUUAAUUGGAAGAUGAUAUUUUUCAUUAUAUAGUGUGCAUGUUUGAGAACGAAGAAGAUCUUUUAUAAAAAAAGAUAAUGAUACUUUGACAAUAUUUUUUAG
Molecule: long non-coding RNA, 887 nt
Filed under: Vigna radiata
Lineage: Eukaryota; Viridiplantae; Streptophyta; Magnoliopsida; Fabales; Fabaceae
Description: long non-coding RNA (VRAD_LNC007846)
Source: RNAcentral